GACGUAGGGCGCGAGCGUUGUCCGGAUUUAUUGGGCGUAAAGCGCUCGUAGGCGGCUCAUCGCGUCAACCGUGAAAACCAGCAGCUCAACUGUUGGCUUGCGGUUGAUACGGGUGGGCUGGAGUUCGGUAGGGGAGACUGGAAUUCCUGGUGUAGCGGUGAAAUGCGCAGAUAUCAGGAGGAACACCCGUGGCGAAGGCGGCCAACUGGGCCGACCCUGACGCUGAGGCGCGAAGGCGUGGGGAGCGAACGGG
This 253-nucleotide ribosomal RNA is filed under the name uncultured bacterium. Its description in RNAcentral is "partial 16S ribosomal RNA". It matches the Rfam family "Bacterial small subunit ribosomal RNA", at positions 524 to 776 of the family's 1533-position model. The record is from RNAcentral.